CAGCAAUGAGCCAACUUUGGUUCGCGAUUCGUUCGUUCC
This 39-nucleotide non-coding RNA is filed under the name Gossypium hirsutum (cotton). The record is from RNAcentral. Lineage: Eukaryota; Viridiplantae; Streptophyta; Magnoliopsida; Malvales; Malvaceae.